Molecule: long non-coding RNA, 1265 nt
Filed under: Homo sapiens (human)
Lineage: Eukaryota; Metazoa; Chordata; Mammalia; Primates; Hominidae
Description: long intergenic non-protein coding RNA 293
Source: RNAcentral
GCACAGAACAGACAUUGUGACAUAUAUCUAGGCAAAUUGCCUAGAAGUGAAUCCCCUCUCCUGCUUAAGUCCUUCCCACAGAGAGCGGUUUGAUAUGUCACUGAAACCAGCAUCCAGGUGGUAUUGCUCCAUAUGCCUGAGACCCUAACAAAAGCCUAAUUACAACUCAUAUGCCUGGAGCCAGGACAUGUGCAGGAUGGUGAUGUAACUUUCCUCUCUGGAAUGGGUCCUGCACAAAGGAAUGAUAGUAACAUAUUGCAAAGCCAGACACACAGCCAUGAUGGUCCAAGUUAUAUUGGGAUUCAGCCAAUAGAAGAUAUUUUGCCUGUCAUCCCUAAGCUUAGGACAAUAGGGUCCUGCCCACAAGAAAGAUUGUGACAUCUCACUGGACAAGCACCCACCCAGACUCUGCCAAGAGAGGGGAUUAUUACAUAUUGCAGAGCCCAGCACCUAGGUGGAGUGACUCUCAUCUUUUUCUUCUACCCCGUAUAUAGCCAGCUUGGUGACCUACUAUUUGAGUCUAUACCCAGGCCCAGACCACAGAUGAAAUUGUGCAAUAUGUGGAACAAACACCUAAACAAUAUAUAACACCUUCCUUGGCUCUGUCUACAAAGGGCACUUUUAUAUAUCACUGGGACCAUCAACCAGGUGAUGUUGUGCCAUAUAACUGAGACCGUAUCAAAAGCCUAAUAACAAGACGUAUGUCUGGAGCCCCGAUAUGCACAGGAUGGUGAUAUAACCCUCUUCUCUGGAAUGGGCCCCACACAAAGGAAGGAUAGUGACAUAUUGCAAGCCCAGGCACACAGGCCCAGAGCACAGUUGAAAUUGUGACAUAUGUACACCAAGCAACCAAGCAAUGUAUAACACCUCAUUUGGCAAUGGAAUCGAGGGCACUUUUACAUAUCACUGAGACCAGCGCCCAGCUGAUGUGAAAUAUUGGCCUGAACCCUGCCUACAAAAGCAUUGUGGCUUUUAUCUAGCUCCAUUACAUAAGUGAUGUGACUUCCUUCUACUGCCUUGGCCCUGCACUUAUGGUGAAUCGUGACACAAAAUUGGGUAGAGCAACCAGCCUGGGCCCUGACCAGCACAGAGAUUGAGGCAUAUUGCUGAACCCAGGACCAAGAUGAAGUCACUCUCCUGCCUUGAUCCUGCACACAGGGACCCUUGUGACAUAUAUACAGGCCAAUUGCCUAGGUAAAGUUUGUCUCCUCUCCUGCCUAAGCCCUGCCCAUGGGGAGGAUUUAGAUAUAUCACUGAAACCAGCA